GCAUCACUCUGUCUACAAUAAGAAUGAUUUGGGGCCAGGAAGUGGAGAAGAGCAGAGCAGGAGGACAGAUCUGGAAUAAAAUCCAAGUGCCACUAGCACUUCCUCUGUCAUCAGCAGCUGAGGCAGCCUGAAUGUCAGCAUUCUCUUAUUGCAGUUGAUUUGUCCUUAAAAACUUCUUCGGAAAGCAGCCAAUGGUUAGACAUGAUCCAUUACAUCAGAUCUCCCUGACAUACAGCUCUAAUGAGCCAGGUUGCGGAUAGUCUAAGAUGUUGCCAUCCAUUCCUGCCCUGCCUUUCCAGGAGGUGACUUGCAUUCAGCAGGAUCAGUAAAUGAGAUCAAUACCUAUAUCCCUAUCAAGUCCAACAGUUAACUUCACAGCAUGACAAGUCUUGGUUUCAGCAGGCUGAAAAUACUGUCCUACCUAAGGAGGAAAAAUGAAAAUCUCUUGUGAUUUGAAGACAACACAAACAUUUUUCAUACCCAUGAAUAAGACUGAAAGACCACGAGCCUGGAGAAGCAGUGUCCUCAAGGAUCUGUACUCAGUUGUCCAGAGCUCCAUACUUCCUCAGCUUCCAUGGAUUUGAACUGUGAAGGAGCUUGGUCUUUUACAGGGAAAGCCAAAGAUAAGUUUCAGUGGAUCUUGAGAAGCAGACAACACAAGAGUAAGAGUAUGUGCACAUGUGCAGACAUACAAGUAUAGAGUGCUCUUGUGGCUGCAGAAACUUGAGGUCAAGACCUCUGAACCACCCCCAACCUGGUACUUCUGUGUAUUUGAAAAGCUUCUGGACAUGUGAUAUUCUCAACUGUCCCCAGCUUGUACAUGGCAAGUUCUUAGUUCUCAGAUACUGCAUUAUAUAGUAUGGCAAGCAUUGCUGUAUACAUGGGGAAACAGAGGAGGAGCAGCUGAGAUGAUCUGCUUAACCAUUAUAGAGGAGACGUAGAAGCUGAGAUUCCUGAAAACCAGUCCAGUGCUCUGGACCCCUUAGUCCUCAAUGCUGCAGGCAUGUCAUUUGGGUAUUAUCCAUUCCACUGAAGUACUGAAAUCCAGGAAAACACAAUCUCUUUUUGGAAGCCCUCAGAAGUACCUUUCUUUCUCUAUUGACCACCACAAAAGCAAAAGUCCGUUGUUCUACUGCACUAGAGCCUCAAUUAAUUUCUCUAUUUCUGUUGCCUGUAAAGUGCCGUUAUUAUUUAACAGUAAGGCCUUCUUCCUCCACAGUGAUAAUAGUGAGUUGUGAUUUAUGAGUAACUUAAUUUCCUUUAGGAUACUCAGGUAGAGAGUUUAAAGCACUCACCCCUACCAGUGAUCCAAAAAAGGGAUCACUUCAAAUGCCAUUUCAUCUCUUACAUUUAAUUUCUUCCCUAACUUGCUUUGCCAGUUUCACAGAAGCAUUUGGGUUGGCAGUGAUCUCUUAAGAUCAUCAAGUCCAACUCCUCUACUCAAGCAGACUCAAGCAGAGCAGGUUGUCCAGGACUGUGUCCGGUUGGGUUUUGAGUAUCUCCAGGUCUCUGCAUUUCAUGCUCUCAAGAAUACUAAUCUGAAAUUGUUAUACUAAACUUACUAUACAGUAGAGCUCCAUUCUCAUGAAGAUAGCUAGGCUUGGUUUUAACUUUAAAUCUGACAUUCUGAUGUUUUUCUAUUUUUAUUUAUCAAAGCUUGCUCUACUACUCAUUAAUACUAAAUACAGCCACAGUGCUUUAUAUACACACAGGAGAACUUAAAUCCUUUUAGUUCUUGAAGUGCGUCAUUUACCAGCUCUUGAUGCACACUAUACGGAGUAAGUCUGACACUUUUUCUGCCUUAUCUUUCCUUUUCUGUGACCAGGAAGCUGCAUGGUUCAGUUUUGCACUGACGACAUGCUGGUAUUCUGCCUUGAAACUGCAAAACUAUUGGCUGCUGAACCAUCAGACCUUGGCUCCCUCCCGAUGAAGGGACUAACCUGUAAUUCAUUCAUACUGGCACUUACCUCUGUGACUAGCGUACCAAGAUGGAAUCCAGGCAGAGCUGCCAGGGUUAGUAGAUAGGUGCUGGGAAAUAACACUUGAUCACAAGUAAUUUGAAGGUGGUUAUUCCUAGAUUUCUAGGAAAGACAUUGCCCGAAUACUAGGCUGCAAGGAACUCUGGUUGAACAGAGGAACACGUCAUGCCUGUAUCCAUUUUAGGAGACAUGCACUCUGGCAUUCUAGCCCUUUUAAUCUCUGGAUUUCUCCAUGGAAUUCUCAUAAUUUCACCAGGAUCAGAUAUUAAAAUGGUAGAGCAGCAAAAAGCAAAGAAUCUGGAGCAACCAUUUGUGCUUUAGGUAGCAGACAAGCAAUGCUGUCUUUCCUUGAACCAGUACCAUUGCUUGCUCUUGAUACCAAGCAAAGGGGUGGCAUGUAAGAACUGCUUACCUCUGCACACAUUUCAAAUACUUGGGAAUGAUGCUUCACAUCAUCUUCACUUGAAAGUUCCUUUAAAUCAUGGCCGGAACAAAAUACAGGUCCUUCAGCUGCAAAGAAUUGCAGGAAAAGUCAGUCUGGUUUAAUCAAGAAACCAGGGGUAGAGGAGUGUCAAUGUCGCAGGGGGAGGUAUGUCAAUGAGGUGUCCAAGGCCAAAAAGGAGCUUGGGUAAGGAGUUCCACAGAGAGUUCCAAAAUACUGCCUUCUGCUUUUUGUAACAACUUUAAUUAAUUCUGUUAAUAAUAGAAUGAGUCAAGCUUCUUAUAAGGAUACUGUUCUAAACAGCUCCUUGGGACAAUGUAAACAAGUCAGCUGGAGCAAGGAUGGAGUGCUCUGCUCUCACACAAAUACCGUUAGUCCCUAUUUAUUGUACCCAGCAUUAAUGAUUAACUUCUGCUAAAUAAGCAUCAAGAUUUUUGUGUCACAGCGCUCAAGGCCACAGUGAAAAAAGGAAAAAAGUUUGUUCUGCUGGAGGAGAACCAGAAGGCUUGUUGGGGCAUUGCUUCCUCUACUGUAAAACUGUCAUCUAGAGAAUCCCAAAAACCACAUCAGGGUUUGUGCAGCAAAAGAGCAGGUUCCUGUGGACCUGAGCUUUAAACUUGAUUGCCACCAGUAGCAGCUAAGAUAAAACACCCUUUACAACAGCUUUCCUUCAGCAUGAGGGUAUCUGCCAUAACAAUAAACCAAUUUGAUGCUUCUGAA
Long non-coding RNA from Melopsittacus undulatus (budgerigar), 3141 nucleotides. RefSeq lists it as uncharacterized. The transcript is spliced from 5 exons. The record is from RefSeq and is a predicted model, not a curated record. NCBI's taxonomy places the organism in Eukaryota, Metazoa, Chordata, Aves, Psittaciformes, Psittaculidae.